CUAAGGGCCAGAACAGGAGAGAGAAGAGGUCAGUCCCCACAGCAGUCCAGGCCACGUGACAGAGGUGUCCCUCUAUUUCUUGUUUGCUUGCAUUGAAGGAAACCGGUUGCCAUGCUAUGAGCUGCCCGAUGGAAAGGCCCACAUGGAAGGAACUGAAGUCUUCUGGCUCAAAGUCACUGAGGAACUGAGGCCCUCAGUGCAAAGGCCCUCAAGGUAUUGAGUUCUGCCAACAGUCAUACGAGUAAGACUGGAAGUGGAUCUUCCCGCAGUCAGGCCAUCAGGUGAGACCGCAUUCCUGGCUGACACUCUGACUGCAGCCAUGAGACACGUGGAGCCAGAGGCACCUGGCCAAACUGCAGCUGGAUUCCUGACCCACAGAAGACCCACACAAUAAAUGUUUCUUGUUUUAAGUAGUUAAGUUUUUUGUAAUUUAUUAUGCAGCAAUAGAUAACUAGUACAUCACAGGUAGUAUAGCUGGUGAUGAUGUUAGGAUAGUAGGAGCAUCAGUUUGUCUCUGUAGUCAACAGGCUUGGUGCUUGGACAAGUCAUAUCACCUUUACCUGGUUGAUGUGGGUAAGUCAGUCCUGGCCAUGCCUUCUUUGCUAGUCAUCUGUAGGAAUAAGAUGGAGAUGGGGCGGGUCCUGUAGUGAGUUCUGCUUCAAAUUGCUGGCAGGCCCAUGAAGUGUGUGGACAUAUCUGUCACCUCAUUUGAAUCCUUACAAAACCCUAUGAGGUGGUGUGGUGUUCUCCAUUUUUAAAGAGGAGACACAGAGGCUUGGAGAGGCUAAGUAACUUUCUCAAGGUAAUAGAAUUAGGAAGUGCUGGAGUUGAGACAGAUGCCGAGCCCCAUGCUCUAAGGGACUAUCUCAGAAGGGAUCACCCACACCUGACUAUUGACAUUAUUACUAGUGCUCUCAGAAACAGUGAUAUUGUUUAGGUAAUCCAGUCUCACCGAAUCAGAUGGGGCAUCUUCUAAAAUAGACCAGAGGCAGGCAAGGAAAGG
Molecule: long non-coding RNA, 1003 nt
Filed under: Equus caballus (horse)
Lineage: Eukaryota; Metazoa; Chordata; Mammalia; Perissodactyla; Equidae
Description: lncRNA (ENSECAG00000054658.1)
Source: RNAcentral